CUGAAUAUUGAUUUGUAUCCAAUAAGAGUAACUCAAUAAAAUAAAGAUCCAUCUCUCAGGAAUAAGUAAAUAAAAUUGUUAACCUUAAUGGAAUAUAAGCAAUAUGGAAAUAAGAGUUCAAAUAUCUAUAAUAACAAAUCUUCAUCAUCAGUUUCUAGUUCUGAUUCACUGACUUCAAUAAUAUCAUCAGCCAAGGUAACAUCAGUUCGGAUAACAUCAAGAUCAUUUCUUUUCCAAUUCAUAAUGUCUUCAUCAUCUUCAC
RNAcentral lists this long non-coding RNA (262 nucleotides) under Solanum tuberosum (potato). RNAcentral describes it as "long non-coding RNA (STUB_LNC001631)". The record is from RNAcentral. Lineage: Eukaryota; Viridiplantae; Streptophyta; Magnoliopsida; Solanales; Solanaceae.